RNAcentral lists this ribosomal RNA (465 nucleotides) under Vreelandella stevensii. RNAcentral's name for it is "partial 16S ribosomal RNA". It matches the Rfam family "Bacterial small subunit ribosomal RNA", at positions 338 to 795 of the family's 1533-position model. Lineage: Bacteria; Pseudomonadati; Pseudomonadota; Gammaproteobacteria; Oceanospirillales; Halomonadaceae. The record is from RNAcentral.
CCUACGGGCGGCAGCAGUGGGGAAUAUUGGACAAUGGGCGAAAGCCUGAUCCAGCCAUGCCGCGUGUGUGAAGAAGGCCUUCGGGUUGUAAAGCACUUUCAGUGGGGAAGAAAGCCUUGGGGCUAAUACCCUCGAGGAAGGACAUCACCCACAGAAGAAGCACCGGCUAACUCCGUGCCAGCAGCCGCGGUAAUACGGAGGGUGCGGGCGUUAAUCGGAAUUACUGGGCGUAAAGCGCGCGUAGGCGGUCUGAUAAGCCGGUUGUGAAAGCCCCGGGCUCAACCUGGGAACGGCAUCCGGAACUGUCAGGCUAGAGUGCAGGAGAGGAAGGUAGAAUUCCCGGUGUAGCGGUGAAAUGCGUAGAGAUCGGGAGGAAUACCAGUGGCGAAGGCGGCCUUCUGGACUGACACUGACGCUGAGGUGCGAAAGCGUGGGUAGCAAACAGGAUUAGAUACCCGAGUAGUC